AUGGGCAUGGCUGAGAAGGGGUCGGCAGCAAGGAAGGCCGGGCUGAUCACCAAGACGCUGGACCGGUGCCGGAGCACGACGGCGAGGAACAACAAGCCGGCAGAGGGCUGCUUCUCGGUGUACGUCGGUGCGGGCAGGCAGCGGUUCGUGGUGCGGAUGGAGUGCUUAAACCACCCGCUGUUCCGGGCACUGCUUGAGGAGGCCGAGGAGGCGUUUGGGUAUGCCGACUCGGGACCCCUUGAGCUGCCCUGCAACACCGAGGCAUUUACCAAGGUGCUGGAGAAGAUCGAGGAGGAGAAGCAGAUGUCGGCUGGGAGGAGGCAUGGCCUCGCCAGGGGGAACUCCUACCGGCUGCUCAGCACCGGCCGGCCUGUCAUCAUUGGCCGGUCGUAG
This 393-nucleotide ribosomal RNA is filed under the name Triticum aestivum (bread wheat). RNAcentral's name for it is "partial small subunit ribosomal RNA". Lineage: Eukaryota; Viridiplantae; Streptophyta; Magnoliopsida; Poales; Poaceae. The record is from RNAcentral.